GACGAACGCUGGCGGCGUGCUUAACACAUGCAAGUCGAACGGAAAGGCCCAGCUUGCUGGGUACUCGAGUGGCGAACGGGUGAGUAACACGUGGGUGACCUGCCUCAUACUCUGGGAUAAGCCUGGGAAACUGGGUCUAAUACUGGAUAUUACCUUGGACUGCAUGGUCUGGGGUGGAAAGCUUUUGCGGUGUGAGAUGGGCCCGCGGCCUAUCAGCUUGUUGGUGAGGUAAUGGCUCACCAAGGCGACGACGGGUAGCCGACCUGAGAGGGUGAUCGGCCACACUGGGACUGAGACACGGCCCAGACUCCUACGGGAGGCAGCAGUGGGGAAUAUUGCACAAUGGGCGCAAGCCUGAUGCAGCGACGCCGCGUGAGGGAUGACGGCCUUCGGGUUGUAAACCUCUUUCGCCAGGGACGAAGCGCAAGUGACGGUACCUGGUAAAGAAGCACCGGCCAACUACGUG
RNAcentral lists this ribosomal RNA (466 nucleotides) under uncultured organism. RNAcentral describes it as "bacterial SSU rRNA". It matches the Rfam family "Bacterial small subunit ribosomal RNA", at positions 28 to 507 of the family's 1533-position model. The record is from RNAcentral.